RNAcentral lists this long non-coding RNA (4298 nucleotides) under Homo sapiens (human). RNAcentral's name for it is "HSALNT0119945". The stretch from base 2135 to 2240 matches the Rfam family "Small nucleolar RNA U13". The record is from RNAcentral. Lineage: Eukaryota; Metazoa; Chordata; Mammalia; Primates; Hominidae.
GCCUGGAGCAGGUGGCCCUGGUGGAAGGUUCCAGAUUCUGCAACUUCCUGACUGAGGCAGGAGCGGCAGUGUUCUUGGCAGCCUGGUUCUGCAGUGAGGUUUCCGGAGUUGUUUCUGGAAGCUCAACCUAGAGCCUGCGUCUUUGCCACCCACCCCUACAGACUCUACCCUUUAAUAAGUCUCUUUCUGCUUCAAGUAACUAGAAUAGAUUCCGAGGCCUGAAACUAAGAUCUCCGAGCAACAGCAGGACCAUGGGAGAAACACUGUUAGAUUGGUUCUCUUGAGUCUCAGAGAUGGAAAACACAGGCCUCUAUAAGGCAUUACGCCUCAUCCAACUGCUUUCAGGGGCCCACUUUAACUGCUGGAGCGAGGAAAAUGGUCCUAUGGAGAUCUAGGGCAUGAUUCUCAGAGAUGUGUGCUGUUGGAAGGACAGCUGGCAUCUGGAAGCAUGAAGGAGCAUGCAGAGUCCAAGAACUCCCACUAAAUCUUCCUUCUCCAAGGCUGCUCACUUCACAGCAAGAGUGUCAUGACAGUUAGGAUGGCUUGGCGGCAAGUAAUGGAAAACUGUCUCCCCAAAUAAGAAGCCCAAAGAUAGGGCAUCUCUGUUAUAAGUUAAUUCAGCUGUUCAAUUAUGUCAUCAAGGCAGAGGUUCUCUCCACCGUUCUGCUCUGUCAUCAAGACAUGAUGGCUUUGACUUGGAGAUUAGCUCCCUGAGGGGUUGUUAAAUGUUUGUCCCCAGCUUUGGUUUCAUUCAGAUACACCAACAUCCAUUUGAAGAAAGGUUUGCAUUUUUUAUUGAUAUAUAAUAGUUUUACAUACUUAGGGGGUAUGUGUGAUAUUCUGAUACCUGUAUAUGAUGAACAGUGGUAAAAUCUGAGUACUUCAGAUAUCCAUCACCUCAAAUAUGUAUCUUUUCCCUGUGUUGGAAACAUUACAAAGCUUCUCCUCUAGCCAUUUUGAUGUAUACAAUAAAUUAUUAACUAUAGUUUCCCUCCCUACUAUUGAAUACUAGAACUAACUCCUUCUAACUGUAUUUUUGUACCAAAAUGUGCAUUUUUCUGUGUGAUUUUUCUUUCUUUUUUUUUUUUUUAACAAAUGCUAGAACUUUGUGUGGAUGCUCUUAGCUCCCACUUCCUCCUGCCUUCCUGGUUUUGAGCUUCUGCCUAACCCGUUCUCUAGCAAUGGGAAUGGGAGCUCAGGAGUUGAAUUCAAUCAGUCAGAAUUUACCCUGGAUUGCAAGAUGGAUUUGCUUUUCCCUGAGAGUAAACCCAAAUAAAAAAAUUUGCUGUGACAGCAAAGAAGAAUGGGAGGAUGGCUGUUAGGCAACCAACAGGGUCACUUCCCAGGGUGUAGUUUGUGUGGGUUUCGUUUUGUGUUUCAAACUUAAUAUUUUUUCCUUUUUUUUUUUUAGUGAAAAAGCAGCAUGCUCAAUAGAAACAAAGUAACCAGUACAAAAGUCUUACAGUAAAAAAAAAAAAAAAGACUCUCUACCCAUCCUUAUGCCAUAACUUACACAAAAAUUAUGAAAUAUCAUUAAGAGAAAAAUUUAAAAUUCUAAGCAAAUGAAAGGGAAAAUUUUAAGAUUCUAAACAAAGGAAGGGAAAUAACAUAUUUAUGGAUUGAAAGGACUGACAUUGAAAAGAUUCUACCCAAAUUGAUUAUAGAUUCAAUACAAUCCCAGUUAAGACCCAGCAAAGUUUUUCUAAGAAGUCAACAAUUCGUUUCUCACAUUUGUGUGAAAAUGCAAAGGGCAUAAUAUCCAAGAUAACCUUAAGAAGAAAAAAACUGGAGACUCUACAUACAGGACAUUGUGGCUUAUUAUAAAGUUCCAGUCAUUAAGACAGUGCAGAGUUGAUACUAGGAAAUAUAAAAACAUAUCCAUUCAUAUCUAAUGACUCAAUUAUGACUUAGUUUCUGUAUAGAGGGGGGAAGAAUGGUCUUUUAAAAUAAAUGGUACUGAUUCAAUUGGAUAUCUAUAUAGAAGGUGUAGGUAGUAUUUUUCUCCAUUUGCUUAGAACUUCUAAAUUUUAUUUUAACCAUAUUUUAUAUUUUUUGUAUAUACUUUUUUCCAGAUUAAUAAAAUUCUUUUCUAUUUCUAAUUUGCUAAGACAUUUUAUCACAAAUAGAUUUUGAGAUCCUUUUGUAGUUUGUAAGUGUGAUGAUUGGGUUUUUUCACGCUCAUGUGUGAGAUAUGCCUUCCUUAAAGUUUGUUACAUCAUCAGCACAUUACCCAUCUGACAAGAAAAAAAAUAGAUUUUGACUCUCAUCAAAUACUUUUUUGCAUCUACUGACAUAAUCAUGUGGUUUUUCUAUUUCACCUUGUUAAUGUGUCUGAUUACGUUGAUUCGUUCUCAAAUUUUAACACUCUCGCAUUCCUGGACUAAAAGUCACUUAGUCACGAUGUAGUAACCAUUUUAUAUAUCACAGGAUUUAAUUUACUGUUUUUACAAAAAUUCUUAUAUAUAUUUCAUGAGAGAGCUUGGCAAGUAAUUUCCUUUUGAGUAAUGUUCUUUUCAGAAUUUAAUAUCAAAGUUUUGCUGGCAUCAUAAAAUAUGUUGGGAAGUGUUUCUUCUUUUUCUUUUAUCUUGAAGAAUUUUAGGAAGAAUCCACUAGUGAAGUCAUCUGGGCUGAGGAAAUUUUUUGUGGAAAAGUGUUAAUUUAUACGUUCAAUUACUUUACUAGAUAUAGAACUAUUUAAGUUUCGUAUUUCUGUUUGUCAAUUUUGGUAAGGUCUAUUUUUAUAGGAAUUUUCUCAUUUUCCCUACAUUUCCAAAUUUAUUGGCAUAAAGUAGUUCCUCAUAUCUGUUUUUUUUUUUUUUUUUGAGAUGGGGUCUGGCUCUGUUGCCCAGGCUGGAGUGCAAUGGUGUGAUUUUAGCUCACUGUAACCUCCACCUGCUAGGCUCAAGCGAUCCUCCCACUUCAGCCUCCUGAGUAGCUAGGACCACAGAUACACACCACUACAUCCAGCUAAGUUUUUUUUUUUUUUUUUCUUAGUAGAGACAAGGUUUCACCAUGUUGCCUAGGCUGGUCUCAAACUCCUGAGCUCAAGCAAUCCUCCUGACUCAGCCUCCCGAACUGCUGGGAUUACAGGUGUAAGCCACUGCACCCAGCCUCACUCUUAUUUUUUAAUAUCUCUGUUGUCUGUAGUGAUGUACACCUUUUCAUUCUGACAUUGAUAAUUUGUGACUUGUCUCUGUUUUUAUCUGUCCUUGUAGCUGUCCAUUAAUCUUACUAAUCUUUUCAAAGGAUAAACUUUUAGCUUUUUAUUUUUCCCUAUUUCAUGCUCAUUUUCUAUUUAUUAAUUUCUUCUCAUUUUUUAAAUUGACUUUCAUCUACUUUGGGUUUAAUUUGCUGUUGUUCUAACUUCUUGAUUAUACUUAGCCAAUUGCCAUUUCAACAUUUCUUUUUUCUAAAAUAUGCAUUUAUUGCAUAAAUCACCCCCAAAUGCAAAUUUAGCUACAUCUCAUGAGUUUUAAUAUAUUGAAUUUUCAUUAUUAUUCAAGCGAAAAUAUUUUCUAGUUUUUAUUGGAAUUUCUCAUUUAACCCAUGCACUGCCAUUAUUAUUGUACAAUUUCCAAAUAGUAUUUUUUAAGUUUAAUUGUACUAUGGUCAUAAAACAUACUGUGUAUGAUUUCAAUCCUUUGAGAUUUUCUGAAAUUUGCUUUAUGGCCCAACAUAAUAUCAGUGUUAGUAAAUGGUCUGCGUGCACUUAGGAAGAAUGCAUAUUCAAUUGUUAAUUGUGUUGUUCAAAUCUACAUACAUAUUUCCUUUUUUUCCACCUACCUAUUCUAUUAGUUAUUCAGAGAACUGUGUUAUCACCUUGCAUUUUGGUAAUAGAUUUGUUUUUUGGUAAUAGAUUUGAUUUUGGUAAUAGAUUUAUUUCCUUUUUUUGGUUUCUGUCAAUUUUCACUUUAUAUAUUUUAAAGCCAUAAUAUCAAGUGCAUGUAUUUUUAAGUUAUUGUAUCUUGUUGGUGGAUUGGCCGUUUUAUAUAUAAGAAACACCCCUCUUACUCUCUAGUGAUGCUUCUUGCCUUAGAUUCUACUUUGUAUAUUGAUGUAAUUAUACUAGCUUUGGGGGGGCUAAUGUUUGCAUGGUGUAUUAAGCCAGUGUCCCUGAGAAGCAGACUUUGAGUACAGAAGGUGAGAAGUAAACCUAGGAACACUGGUAAGGUUGCCUGAGUAGACACGGAAGGGAAGGAAGCUGACAAUGGAUGCACUAGUGAGCUGUUGGCUGUUUACAGCUAGGGCUCACUUCCCCUCUUGGAAGUCUCCUCUUGGCUCCUCAGUGGCUUUGCUGG